This is a non-coding RNA of Rattus norvegicus (Norway rat), 88 nucleotides long. The record is from Rfam. NCBI's taxonomy places the organism in Eukaryota, Metazoa, Chordata, Mammalia, Rodentia, Muridae.
CUGGCCUCCAGGGCCUUGUACAUGGUAGGCUUUCAUUCAUUGUUUGCACAUUCGGUGAAGGUCUACUGUGUGCCAGGCCCUGUGCCAG